GGCCCUGUGGCGGAACUGGCAGACGCAGCGGACUUAAAAUCCGCUGGCCCGUAAGGGCCGUGCGGGUUCGAAUCCCGCUGGGGCCA
Molecule: transfer RNA, 86 nt
Filed under: Phycisphaeraceae bacterium
Lineage: Bacteria; Pseudomonadati; Planctomycetota; Phycisphaerae; Phycisphaerales; Phycisphaeraceae
Description: tRNA-Leu
Rfam family: tRNA
About the family: Transfer RNA (tRNA) molecules are approximately 80 nucleotides in length. Their secondary structure includes four short double-helical elements and three loops (D, anti-codon, and T loops).
Source: RNAcentral